Molecule: unclassified non-coding RNA, 307 nt
Filed under: plant metagenome
Description: partial contains 5.8S ribosomal RNA, internal transcribed spacer 2, and large subunit ribosomal RNA
Rfam family: 5.8S ribosomal RNA (bases 1-105)
Source: RNAcentral
GAAAUGCGAUAAGUAGUGUGAAUUGCAGAAUUUAGCGAAUCAUCGAAUCUUUGAACGCACAUUGCGCCCCUUGGUAUUCCAUGGGGCACGCCUGUUCGAGCGUCAUUUCAACCCUCAAGCACUGCUUGGUGUUGGGCGUUUGUCCCGCCUACGCGCGUGGACUCGCCUCAAAGUCAUUGGCAGCUGUUCCCCUUCGGCUCGUAAGCGCAGCACAGUCGGCGCCCGGAGCUCUGGUGGGAUGGCGUCCAGCAAGCUAUAUUUUCAGGCUUGACCUCGGAUCAGGUAGGGAUACCCGCUGAACUUAAGC